GGAUUCGAAACUCAUAUUUGAUAUUUGAGGGAUUUUGGGCAUAUUCCAUGGACACCAAUGGUGGAUUAUGUAUGAGGGGGUCUGGAUGGUUAUGUCGUAUUGAUUUGGAGUGGAUUGUGACUGGUGCCGCCACAGGAGAAAGUUAGGGCAAUGCUAGGGUUUCUAAAAUUCGAGGCAUUCUGGUGGGAUUUGAGAGGAGGUGUUUGGAGAUUUGGGAUGUGGAGGUGGAGAAGAGUCGAAGGUGUAAUUUUGGAGGUGAUUGACCGCCGGCCGCCGCCGUGGGCAAUUUCUGAUGGGAGGCGGACAGUGGUGAAGGUUUGGGGCUCUGAUGGGUG
Molecule: long non-coding RNA, 335 nt
Filed under: Nicotiana benthamiana
Lineage: Eukaryota; Viridiplantae; Streptophyta; Magnoliopsida; Solanales; Solanaceae
Description: long non-coding RNA (NBEN_LNC030991)
Source: RNAcentral